CGUACACUCCUACGGGAGGCAGCAGUGAGGAAUAUUGGACAAUGGGUGGAAGCCUGAUCCAGCCAUCCCGCGUGCAGGAAGACGGCCCUAUGGGUUGUAAACUGCUUUUAUCUGGGGAUAAACCUACUUACGUGUAAGUAGCUGAAGGUACCAGAAGAAUAAGCACCGGCUAACUCCGUGCCAGCAGCCGCGGUAAUACGGAGGGUGCAAGCGUUAUCCGGAUUUAUUGGGUUUAAAGGGUCCGUAGGCGGACUGAUAAGUCAGUGGUGAAAUCCGACAGCUUAACUGUCGAACUGCCAUUGAUACUGUUAGUCUUGAGUAAGGUUGAAGUGGCUGGAAUAAGUAGUGUAGCGGUGAAAUGCAUAGAUAUUACUUAGAACACCAAUUGCGAAGGCAGGUCACUAAGUCUUAACUGACGCUGAUGGACGAAAGCGUGGGGAGCGAACAGGAUUAGAAACCCCGGUAGUCCC
RNAcentral lists this ribosomal RNA (470 nucleotides) under uncultured organism. RNAcentral describes it as "partial 16S ribosomal RNA". It matches the Rfam family "Bacterial small subunit ribosomal RNA", at positions 330 to 797 of the family's 1533-position model. The record is from RNAcentral.